GUCAAGGUGCCAGAGUGGUUAAUGGGCUGCCCUGCUAUGAAUAUCUGACUUCGGUUAGCAUUCGAGUUGUUUAGGCAGUGGCUUCGGUCGCGCAGGUUCGAAUCCUGUCCUUGACG
Molecule: transfer RNA, 116 nt
Filed under: Colletotrichum gloeosporioides Cg-14
Lineage: Eukaryota; Fungi; Ascomycota; Sordariomycetes; Glomerellales; Glomerellaceae
Rfam family: tRNA
About the family: Transfer RNA (tRNA) molecules are approximately 80 nucleotides in length. Their secondary structure includes four short double-helical elements and three loops (D, anti-codon, and T loops).
Source: Rfam by way of RNAcentral